This 216-nucleotide ribosomal RNA is filed under the name Scolopsis margaritifera (pearly monocle bream). RNAcentral's name for it is "partial 16S ribosomal RNA". Lineage: Eukaryota; Metazoa; Chordata; Actinopteri; Spariformes; Nemipteridae. The record is from RNAcentral.
GCCCAUUAGCUAGCUUAAAUUAGACCCAAAAACAACAAACCAUAUUAAUAACCCCACAACCACUGUACCCCAUAAAACAAAUCAUUUUCCCCUCCUAGUAUGUGCGACAGAAAAGAGACACUAUAAGCAAUAGAAAGAGUACCGUAAGGGAACGCUGAAAGAGAAAUGAAACAACUCAGUAAAGCAUAAAAAAGCAAAGAUUUUAACUUGUACCUU